RNAcentral lists this long non-coding RNA (425 nucleotides) under Astyanax mexicanus (Mexican tetra). Its description in RNAcentral is "lncRNA (ENSAMXG00005012012.1)". The record is from RNAcentral. Lineage: Eukaryota; Metazoa; Chordata; Actinopteri; Characiformes; Acestrorhamphidae.
GUUGUUUGUUAAGCUAGUUAACCUAAAGCUAACCAGCCAACAUCUCUGACCUGCAGAGAAAGGUCUAAAUUGCCAUUAUCUGAUAAAGUCCAUCAUCUCAUCAGUGCUCAUCUUUACACGCUCAGCAUCUCCAGAGCAGGCAACUGUCACCAUGGAGACACCGCCAUUCUUUUGCUCAUGUGAGGAGAUUAAAAGUGCUCUGCCCAUUACUGACUGGUACAAGCCCUGAGACUUGAAUGGAUGGACAGCCAUUAUGAGAAGAAGAAGAUACCUUUUUCAUUUAGACCAGCUUUUUCUUCAAGGCUGCUGCAAGAACAGAAGCUCACCUUUCCCACAGAAAAACCCUUGGAUUAUGACCAGAAUCUAACUUGGGAGCGAGCGAGGAAAGUUUUUCUGUCUCUCAGCCCUUGUGAUGACCUCAUCAG